Phragmites australis (common reed) is the source of this 1996-nucleotide long non-coding RNA. RefSeq lists it as uncharacterized. The transcript has 5 exons. The record is from RefSeq and is a predicted model, not a curated record. Lineage: Eukaryota; Viridiplantae; Streptophyta; Magnoliopsida; Poales; Poaceae.
CGAAUGGGCACCCGGCCGCAUCUAGCGGCGCCGCCUGCGGUCGCCCAGCCCUUGCCGCGCCUGCGCGCCAUACACCGCCGUCGGGGCGCCGCUCCCGGGCCCUGUGUGCGCUUCGCGGCGCUUCCGGCCGCUGCAAUGCACCGCGCACUGCGCCGGGGCCUCGCGGCUUCGCCCCCUGUCGGACGGCCUGCUUCCACCGUGGUCGUUUGCCCGGUCGCCCCGCCGUCGCACCAUUCGCCCCGGCCGGUGUCGUUACAGACGGAGGCGGAUCAGAUUCCACUCCAGAUCCUGAUAGUAUAUGCCUUUGGUUGGUUCGCACGCUUUGCAAUCUGAAUACUGCACACCAGGAGCAAAAACUUACCUUUUGAAGAGAAGAAAUCAUAUCUCGUUCCGCUCUUCGGCGCUUGAUUGAUUCUUCAUAUGCUUCCUUCUUCGAGAGUUCAGCUUCACUGAGAAGUCUAUCAUAUAGGUCAGCAUCAACACCUGGAUUCACCUGCGCGAACAGCAGAUGGUACAUGCCAGCUCACGAGAAGGAGUUGAAAAGUUCUCAUCAUCAGGUUCUCCCAUUUGAUGACGCGUCGCUGAUCCAGAGAUAGUGGCUGCAUCAUCAUUUCUUGAUGGAUCAUACCAGGAGCUUCGCGAUCUCCUCCCAAGUUCAUCCCAGGAAUCGAUAGAACUCCUUGGUGUCACGGUAGACUUUCCAUUGAUGUUAAGUUCAAAGGGCUCGUAUAGCCGAGACGGUGUACUGGUUGCUCCUUGAGAGAGAUAUUGUGCCACUUCUGUUCUCGAUCUUCCCAGAUCAUGUCUUGGGCUUCCAUUUGAGCUUGACGCCUCACUCUCCGAGUGGUGGAUUGUCAUCGAUCUCGUAUGAGUAGAAGGGCUGCUUGCUGAUGACGUUGAUGCAACCGUAUGUGCUGGUGACAAUGGUACUGCAGGAACAGUUGUAUACGCUUCCCUACAGUGGUCAGAGCUUUAAACUACCAAAAUAGCUUGUGAAAGGCACUAGCACUAUAACUAUCAGACAAUAAUACAAGACAAACAAAUGAGGAGGCUUUCACAUUGGAGUCGGCUGGGGCACAAGCUCAAACUUGGCCUGCAGAGGCAGAUGGAAUUUCCUUUUGGACCGGUGCAAAUGGGAGGUGGGUGCGGCAGCUCAGCUAGCAUAGAAUGAGCAGAUAUCGCUAAGCUUGCGGCAGUAGCUCAGAAGACGAGACAUAACUGAUGUGCAUGACAACAUGAGAAAUCUUUAGCAGUUAUUCAGAGAUAGGAACCUCAGGAUUGGCAGUCAGCUCUCUGCUCGCCAGAGAUAGCCAACGACAAAGCAUAUCCAUUCAUUUGAGAAACUGCGAACUCAACUAGAUGGAAAACGGCAGGCAGCAUCUAAACUUAUCUGUAAAUCACCCAAAGAAAGCAGGCGUUAAGGAGGCCUUACUCAUGGGGAUCAUCUGUGCGGGGCAGUGGACGUGAGCGAUCACGACGCCGGCGCCGUCCUUGGCCAGGUUCUCCACCGCCCACAGCAUGGUGCUCUUCCCGUGCCUGAUAUCCUCGGGGACGGCCACGAAAACCCUUUCCACCGGCGGCGGGCUCGCCUCCUCCACCUCACCGUGGCUGCUCACCGACGUCCUGAAGCUGUACUGCGAAGACGUGUCCCACCGCCUGUGCGCCGCACCACCGGCGCCCUCCAUCCUUCCAGCCGUUGUUGGCGCUUGACACGGAGACGGUUGGGGGUGCAGUGAGUUGCAUGAGAUCUCUUUAUCCUUGCCCUGUUGUGUUGCUUGGUUCGUUGGCUAUGUGCUUCGUGAUUGACCCAGGUGAAGUCAACUCUUCUUGAAUUAUACCUUCUCGGUAUGCGUUUUCAGAUACCGAGAACUCUCGGUUUGUCUGUCCGAUAAUAAAAAAAAGUUGAUAGUUGUCUCGUUCCUGGAUUGUACUGUUCAUGAACUUGAUUUUUCUCCAACUAAUCAAUUGAAUGUCGGCGAUGACCGCGUGCCACGCA